Molecule: ribosomal RNA, 252 nt
Filed under: uncultured bacterium
Lineage: Bacteria
Description: partial 16S ribosomal RNA
Rfam family: Bacterial small subunit ribosomal RNA
Source: RNAcentral
UACGUAGGUGGCAAGCGUUAUCCGGAUUUACUGGGUGUAAAGGGUGCGUAGGCGGGCAUUUAAGCCGGCGGUCAAAUGUCGGGGCUCAACCCCGGCCUGCCGUCGGAACUGGGUGCCUUGAGUGGGCGAGAAGUAUGCGGAAUGCGUGGUGUAGCGGUGAAAUGCUUAGAUAUUAGGAGGAACACCAGUGGCGAAGGCGGCUUACUGGACGAUGACUGACGCUGAGGCUCGAAAGCGUGGGGAGCAAACAGG